RNAcentral lists this ribosomal RNA (1945 nucleotides) under human gut metagenome. Its description in RNAcentral is "bacterial LSU rRNA". It matches the Rfam family "Bacterial large subunit ribosomal RNA", at positions 222 to 2176 of the family's 2925-position model. The record is from RNAcentral.
AAAGAAACAUCGAUUUCCAAAGUAGCGGCGAGCGAAAUGGAAGAAGCCCAAACCGAUAUUGUUACGGCAAUAUCGGGGUUGUAGGACUGCAAUAUUCAAUUAACAAUGAACUGGAAUGGUCUGGAAAGUCCAUCCAUAGAGAGUGAAAGGCUCGUACAGGUAAGUUUGUUAUGCGAAAGCAGUAUCCUGAGUAUGGCGGGACACGAGGAAUCCUGUCAGAAUCAGCCGGGACCACCCGGUAAGGCUAAAUACUCCCAAGAGACCGAUAGUGGACCAGUACUGUGAAGGAAAGGUGAAAAGAACCCCGAACAGGGGAGUGAAAUAGAACCUGAAACCAUACGCUUACAACCGGUCGGAGCAGCUUCGUGCUGUGACGGCGUGCCUAUUGAAUAAUGAGCCUACGAGUUACUAAUCACUAGCGAGGUUAAGUGCAAGGAUGCACGGAGCCGAAGCGAAAGCGAGUCUGAACAGGGCGUUUAGUUAGUGGUUGUAGACGCGAAACCUUGCGAUCUACCCUUGAGCAGGUUGAAGGUUGGGUAAAACCAACUGGAGGACCGAACGAAUAAGCGUUGAAAAGCUUCUCGAUGACUUGAGGGUAGGGGUGAAAGGCUAAUCAAGCUGGGAAAUAGCUCGUACUCCCCGAAAUGCCUUUUGGGGCAGCGUUGUAAUAAAGAGUCUACUGGAGGUAGAGCUACUGAUUGGAUGCGGGGGCUUCACCGCCUACCAAAUCCUGACAAACUCCGAAUGCCAGUAGUAUGAUUUACAGCAGUGAGUGACUGGGUGCUAAUGUCCAGUCGCAAAAGAGGAACAACUCAGACCAGCAACUAAGGUCCCGAAGAAUAUGCUAAGUUGAUCUAACGAUGUUUUGUUGCAGAGACAGCUAGGAUGUUAGCUUGGAAGCAGCUAUUCAUUCAAAGAGUGCGUAACAGCUCACUAGUCGAGCGACAGAGCGUGGAUAAUAAACGGGCAUCAAGCAUAUCACCGAAGUUCUGGGCGCGAGAGCGCGGUAGGGGAGCAUUCCAUUCAGCGUCGAAGCAGUUUCGUGAGGAAUUGUGGAGCGUAUGGAAAAGCAAAUGUAGGCAUGAGUAACGAUAAUGCGGGAGAGUAACCCGCACACCGCAAGACCAAGGUUUCCUGAUCAACGCUAAUCGGAUCAGGGUUAGUCGGGUCCUAAGGGUAAGCCGAACGGCGAUCUCGAUGGAUAAUCGGUUAAUAUUCCGAUACUAACAUAUACCUCGAUGGAGAGACGAAGGAACGUAAGUGCCGCCACCUGACGGAAUAGGUGGUUAAAGGGCGUAGGUAUAGGGGCAGAUUAAGAGUUAGUCCUUGCUGAAACCUGACAGUACAGAGAGCCUACGGGCAAUUUGAUAGAGCACCCAAGUCGACUUCCGAGAAAAUCUUCUAAGUUAUAGUAUAUGUUACCCGUACCGUAAACCGACACAGGUGGUCGAGGAGAGUAUCCUAAGGUGCUCGAGUGAAUCACGGUUAAGGAACUAGGCAAAUUAACCCCGUAACUUCGGGAAAAGGGGUCCCUAUGAAAGUAGGGCGCAGCGAAGAGGUCCAGGCGACUGUUUAUCAAAAACACAGGGCUCUGCAAAUUCGAAAGAAGACGUAUAGGGCCUGACACCUGCCCGGUGCUGGAAGGUUAAGAGGGGAUGUCAUCGCAAGAGAAGCAUUGAAUCGAAGCCCCAGUAAACGGCGGCCGUAACUAUAACGGUCCUAAGGUAGCGAAAUUCCUUGUCGGGUAAGUUCCGACCUGCACGAAUGGUGUAACGAUCUGGACACUGUCUCAACCGUGAGCUCGGUGAAAUUGUAGUCCCGGUGAUGAUGCCGGGUACCCGCAACGGGACGAAAAGACCCCGUGAACCUUUACUAUAGCUUAACGCUGAAUUUGGGUACACAAUGUGUAGGAUAGGCCGGAGGCUUUGAAGCGGGCACGCCAGUG